CCCUCUUCGCCAUCUUUGUAUGUUAAAGCACAUAUCAUGCCUUUCCAAAUGGAAGGGGCGUGUGCAUUCCACCAGGAUUCUCGUGUGGU
This 89-nucleotide non-coding RNA is filed under the name Plasmodium falciparum 3D7. The record is from RNAcentral. Lineage: Eukaryota; Apicomplexa; Aconoidasida; Haemosporida; Plasmodiidae.